UCCGUAGGUGGAUAAUUAAGUCAGAGGUGAAAUCCUGCAGCUCAACUGUAGAAUUGCCUUUGAUACUGGUUAUCUUGAGUCAUUAUGAAGUGGUUAGAAUGUGUAGUGCAGCGGUGAAAUGCAUAGAUAUUACACAGAAUACCGAUUGCGAAAGCCGAUCACUAAUAAUGUACUGACACUGAGGGACGAAAGCGUGGGGAGCGAACAGGAUUAGAUACCCUGGUAGUCC
This 229-nucleotide ribosomal RNA is filed under the name uncultured bacterium. Its description in RNAcentral is "partial 16S ribosomal RNA". It matches the Rfam family "Bacterial small subunit ribosomal RNA", at positions 568 to 796 of the family's 1533-position model. The record is from RNAcentral.